UCAUGGGCCCCUUUGGAAAGCCUUCGUCAGCCCCCGAGGAAGAGAGGCUCCCACUUUGAAGAUGACCGCACCGAACUGUAGAAAACCCACUGUAACUCAGGGAUGUGGAAAAACUUUUGUCAGCCGGAGGUGUUGAUGACAUUUUCAUGGAAGAUAUGACAUCGGCUGGCCUUCUGGGUAGAAUUUUGAUUCCUGGUGAGGAGAAGGAAGGGCAUUCCCCACAGCAUGGAAGCGACUUGGGAAUGGACUUCUGAUGAAACUAAAGAGUUGGUAGCGUGGGACCAGCCCACACAGGACCUGCAUUUAUGGGCCUGGGAGCUUGUACUCAGGUACUGGAGAUUUUUGCAUGAGCGAGUACCUGAUGAAAGUGAUGCUGAGGGAGAUUUGUUGGGUGUUGAUAGGGAGGAGGAGAGGGCGCGUGCAGAGCUCGGAGGCAGGGAGCAAUCCAAGGGUAGUGGUCAUUAAUGUGUGGAUGGGUGUAAAGGCCUUGGAAAUGGAGAGGCCGCUGCUGGUUAAUUGUGAUGGAGACAGAAAUUGUGUGCCUAUGUUAUGGUUAAAUUGUGUGCCAAUUGCUUGAUGUUCUUCAUUUCAGACGGGCUGCCAAGUCCCAGAGCUAACUCGCUGCCGUUCCCCCAUUCCUGCCGCCGCCUUCUGUAUUGGGGGAAUACUUAAAGUCUAGAAAGACCACACGCCUUUCAGUUCAUCAAGUAGAGGUACAAUAGGGGCCACAUUUCUCUAUUGCUUGGCUGAUCCUUUCAUUGUCAGGAUGAAAUGAGUGAAUGUAUGUGAAACACUUGGUUAACUAUGAAGUCCCCAGCACGUAUAGAGGUAUGACCAUUCACUACUCAUUACUCUUGUUGCACGCUGCUCUUUCUUAGAGGUAGUGAAGAGGUUUUCUGAGUGCCUCAUUUAACAUUAGCCUUGAGUAACUGCAAUGGUAAUAGAGGCUCCAUUGUCUGAUGCUAGAGAAUUUCAUUGGGCUUACACCCCUUUCCAAAUUGGGAAGGUGCUACAAUAUCCCCCUCUGAGUCCCGCUGGGGAGAAGAGGCACUCUUCACAUGCCUUCUGGAUUCUCUGAGGUGUCUGGCUUCGUGCCCAAAACACCCUCAGAGGACUGUUCAUUUUCUGUCAUAAUUGUGAGCCUUCCUGAUUAUGUAGCAACGGAAACAAAGAUUUCCUAUGCCCUGAAAAUCAGAUUUUUGAUGGCCACAUGCUCUCCCCACUCUCUGGUCUAAGCAGGGAAGCAUGCAGAUCAUUAGAACAACCCAGACGCACAACUCUCUCUCUCUCUCAUAUGAGAGACCACUGUGUUUUUAAGACUCUGAGAGGAUGAGAAACUGGUUUUCUACUAAAAGAAAUUAGCGGUCAUUAUCCUUAUAGUCAUCUCUCCAAAACUCAUUGACAUGAGUGACCCUCUAUCUGUGACCCUGAGGGUCAUUGGAACCUUCCUGUGUUCGUAACCCCCCGGAGGACUCUCUUGGCUGUCAUAGUAGAGACCUGUCCUACUGGCCGUGUGGCUGCAGACUCUACUAGGACUUAAUAUUUGGCAUUUCUUCCAAGGAUGAAAAGGAGAUUAUCAAUAAUAUUUGAGUUUUCUUAUGUAAUUGACUUUGCCAUCUCUUAUUCAUGUGUAAGUAAGUAUCUUUACAUGGGUGGAGUAAAAGCAUAUCCACUGGUAGAAAGACAAUGUGCAAGCAGCAGCUGAUCCCCGGGCGUUAAUGCUGCUCCCAUUUAAUAGAUGGGGAAAAUAAGCCUGUAUGGUAAGAUGAUAAUAGUCCCUAUUGUACCCUGUGUAUUUACCAGGUGCCAGGCACAGGGCCAAGGACUUUACACAUUAACUCGUUUUCUCCACCAACCUAUGGAGUGGGGAUAUUAACACCUACAUUUUGCAGGGGAAGAAAAUGAAAACCUGAAGAGGUUAGUAACUCUGCCAAGAUCACAAAACAAGUAAGUGGCUGUGUCAGUCAGCACAAGUUAAAUUACACUUUGUAACAAACAGCCCCCACAUCCUAGUGGUUGCAAGAGCAAAGGUUUAUUCCUCACUCUGGCUGCAUGUCGAUGCAGGCGGACUGGAGGCUCUGUUUCUCCUUAAUCUGGGAUCUGGGCAGAUGGAGUGGCUGCUACCUGGGACCUGCUGGUCAUCGUGGCUGAUGGAAAAAGAGAACAUGGCAAAGUGCUCACUGGUGACACUUGUUCCUUCUGUUCCUUUUGUGGGUCAGAGCCUGUCCCCAGCCACCCCUAACUUCAGAUGGGCAAGAAAGAACAAUUUGACCAUCUGAGAGGGAGAGGAGGAAUACCUGCAGGCAGCUCUACUGACGACCACAGUGGCAGAGAGAGGAUUUGCUAAGAAAGCGAUUUUCUAAGGCCUGUGCUCUCUCCUCUCAUGAAUGCUGCCGUGUGCUGAGCACUUCCUGAGGGCAGGUGCCAUGCUAAGCAUUUUACAGAUAUUUGCAGUCCUCACAACAACCCUGUCAGGUAGAUACUAUUAUCAUCUUCAUUUCACAGAUGAAGUUAUUGAGCCCAGAAAGGUCUGGAAGUAACUUGAGCCAGAUGGCACAAGGCAUAAAAAAAUGGUACCUUGUGCAGCCCUCAAGCCAGCCUGACUCUGGGGACUAUCUUCUUUCCACUUGCCAUGAGGAUUACCAAUGCCACAGACGUCACUUCAGUUUCAUAAGAAAAGAACCACAGACAUUUUUUAAAAAAGGAUUAAAACUUUAUUUAAUUGUGUGUUUAUUUUCUAAUUAAAAAGGUAAUAAGUGCACAUUAUUAAAACUCAGACAAUACUUACAGGUUUGAAGGAGAAAGUAAAAAAUGAGGAAUAACCAAAACAUUUAGAUAUGUCCUUCCAGACAUACUGACCUGUAACUUGCUUCUUCACAUAAUGAUAUAUUGUGAACAUCUUUCCAAUACAUAUAUUUCAUUUUUAAUGGCUGCAUAAUAUUCUAACGACUGUGCCACAGUUGAGUUGGAAUGUUGUGAUACAUUGAUGAACAUUUAUCUUGUUUUCAAGUUUUCUCUGUUCCCUUGGUUUGAAUUCCAUUUCUUUCUUGAUAGUGAUGGCUAAUAGCUUUUCCUAUUUUUCUUAACCAAUUCAUGUCUUCACCAAUGAGAAACAUUGUAACGGUCGAAGAUCUUUACUCAAAAUAUUCCUUCCACUGUUACCUCUUUUCUCUCCCUCCUCCAUAGAGACACCCCCCCCCCCCCCGUCCCCCCCACCAAAUGCUAUUAAAACGUUUUCAUUCCCAGAGUCUCAAGCCAGGGGUUUUCCUUGACAUUUCUGUUUGGUUUCAGAUAAUUCUUCUGAAAUUUCCCUAUAAACUGCUUUCCUUAUUUUUCUUCUUUUGCCUUUUGUUUUCUUUCUCUUUUUUUGUAUAUCCGUACUCCAUAUUGUAUUUUAUAUUCGCAUGUCUGUAUUCUAGAACUAUUAAAUAAAAUGUUUUGUGCUUUUUCUGGCUGUUACCUCUACGGCAAGGCAUUCAUCCCAUUCUGGCUGCAGCCUCCUAGCUUCCUCUCUCUGUCCCCAAGUAGCCCCUGCUCAGCCGCACGGCAGUCCCAGCCACUGCACUCUCCCCACUCUGCCCGCGUUGUUCUCUCAGCCCGGAAUGGCCUUCGCUGUCAGCUAUGGUUGGUCUUCAGAGUCCAGCUCAAAAGCCUGCUCUUUCAGGAAGCCUUCUCGGACCCCAUUCUUAGCCAAAAUCAAUUGUUCUUUCCUCUGUGCUUUGCAGCCCUCCACCUUCAGUGUGCACUCAUUAAGGAAAACACUUAUUCAGUGCCUACGGUGUGCUCUGACGAGCUGGGCAGAUACAAGGAACACGCCUUGGUAUCCACUCUCUGGGAAUCUUCAGCCCCUCGGGAGAUAGGCAAACACAUCAUUUCAACCCAGUAUGGUAAAAGCUGAAGUGGAGGUAAGGGCGGGGCGCCACGGGAAUAACGUGGAGCUGUGCCUUGGGGACGCAGCGCUCCCAACUGCUCUCAUCUGCCUCCUGGAAGGGGAGAAAUGUUCCUACGGUAGUGCCAACUAACCAAAUUACAAGCGAGAAAUCUCCUUCUAUCAAGAUGGGGAGUACGUUUUUCCACCUUUGACUAUGGGCUGGCCUUGUGACUUGAUUUGACCAAUAGAAUAUGGCGGAAGUGACGUUGGGUGUCUUCUGAGGCUAGGCUUCUAGAAGCUUUGGAGCCUCUCCUUUUGCUGUUUCAUAACCCCAAGACUACCAUGGUGUGAAUAAGCUCAGGAUAGAAGACCUUCUGGAGAGAAAGGCCCAGGUGAGUCCACCCAACCUGCCAGCUGAUUGCAGCCCAGGAAAGGCCAGCAGCAGAGCUCUGCAGCCAAUCCACAGAGUCAUGAGAAAUAAUAAGAGGCAGCUGUUUGAAACCACUAGGUUUUGGAGUGUUUUGUUGUGCAGUCAUCAAGAACUGGUGAAGAAACUGGUAUCUGGCAGUGGGCACAAUUGUAGCAGAACUCUGAAGCAUGUGGCACUGGCUUUGGGACUGGGUGGCAGGUGGAGGCUGAAAGGGUAGCAAGGAGUUUGUCAGCAGAAUUGCAAGAACAAUGAGAAAAUUGCUACUGGAGCUGGAAACGAGAGACCCAUGUUGUGUAUAUGGGGAAACUGAUGCCACAGUAACUUGGAAGAUAGAAAAUGUGCCUAAUGAACUUGUAGACUUGGCCACGGCAAAAUUUUGAAAGUGUGAAUUGAUUUUUUUUUUUAACCUAGGAAGAGAGAAAUGAACCAAAGAAUGAAAUGUUUAGUUUAUAAUUAGAACUUGCAGGGAAUAUAAAACAGCCAGGACUUUUUUUUUGGUUAGAAAAUGAAACUAUUUCACAUUUCUCGUGUUUCCAGUCAGCAAAAGAUUCUCAAAAUGAGAAAUGGCCUGAAGGUAAACAUUGAAUCAAAUGUGUGGUCAUAAGAUCUUUGUUAAGACUUCAGAAAAAUUUAAGGAUGUACCUAACUAACUUUCUCAGCCAGACAAAAUAGUUUCUAAGAAUCCUAAGGGCAUUAUCCCAUAGCCACUUGAACACGUGUAAAGCAGAGAGAGGCAUGUCUUAAAGGAAUUAUGGAUGUGCCUUUUGCGCCUGGGGAGAGACACUAUAAAAUUCAUAGGAAACCCACAAAGUUUUUUGAGAGUAUUGUAUUUACAAGAGCACUGUCAGCUUGGACUGAAAUGGGGGAGAGAGAGUUCAGAAUGAAAAAGAGGCUUCUGAGCUCCCAACUUUCUAUGGGCAGAAAGAAGGUGGAAGAAAGCUUCUUAGCUGCAAACAUGGACCAUUUCUUAUGAUAAAGGAAAGGUGUCUCAGAAGAUAAAGCCAUGAGACUUGGGGCAGAGCCAAGAGCUGGGGAGAACAAUAAUUGAGGGAACCUCUCUUAGGGAGCACCACUGGUCCCCCAUAAAGGAAUACUCCUUGUUCCUGGAAGAGGAGACCUAAAACACGUGCCCAGCUGGAUUUCGGAACUGUUAUGGACCACAGACGGUUCUGUGCCUCUGUGAGAUGCCUACCACAGCAUGGCUUGACAAGCAGUGCGUAGGUCCACGCCCAGGAUCUGAACUAGCGAACCCUGGACCGCCAAAGUGGAAAGAUGAGGUAUGUGGGCAGAUAAUGGUCUUUUUAGUUCCCACAUCUCUGCAUGAAGAGGAGCCACAGCAAAGAGCUGCAUGUGACCUGCAGAAGCUGUGAUCUCUUGCCAUGGAGCUGCACAUGCGGUUGGUACAGGACUCAGAGAAGCUAAAGGAGAAGAUCCUGCAGGAGGAGGAGCUGUGGGCCCAACUGUACCCCAUGUCAACACACUGAGCCAGCAGGUCCUGAGCCCUCCACCAAACUCCAUCAGAGAGUAAGCCUACUGCUUCAUGCCCACUCUACAAAUCUCAUGCAGAUUUCUCUGAGUGGCCGGCCCUCUCCUGGAACCACACAGGGCAGAACUUGGAGCCAGUUAGCAUAAGCAUCUCCUGCCACCGGAAGCACGACCUAGGAGAGCGCCUCUCUUCCCUCGGCCCCUGUGAGCCAGGCCCUGCCUCCUCGCACAGCUCCCUCUCCCACUCCUGCCUGUUCAGGUCUGUUCCAUGUUUAGAGUUUUCAAAAAAUGGAUCUGGGAGAACAGGCAAACGCAAGUGACCUUGGUUGGGCGUCCUGCGUCUGGAGUAUACAGCGCCCUCUAGAGGACGAAGGCUGCGGCGGCCUCCCAGUUAACUGUUCAUUCCUAUGGCGCUUAUCAACGUGUCAUCAUUCUCUGUGAUGGGAAACAAAAGGGGGACCUGGCCAGAUGGGUAGAAAGAAGAUGAGGGGAUAAUUUAUCUUAGCCUCCUUGUCUCCCAAAGCCAAGACUCUGUUCCUGGGCUCCUAGAAGGGAGAGGGGUUAGCGUGACAAUUCCUGGCAGCUCAUGUAUAUGGAACCGCAUGGAUAUUCACACCACAACUCACCUGUGUGAUGGAGAUAACGGAAUUUUAUUAGUUUGGAAUUAAUUUGGAAUUAAUGAUUUGUCUUCGUGAUGAGUCUUCUUUUUCCUUUUUUUUCUGGGGGACAGGGAGGCUGUGAGGAAUAUGUUAUGCAUUGUAAGGCUGUCUACCCUCUGCUGAAUUGAAGAAGAAAAACUUAGAAACCCAGCCUUGUAUGAGUUCCCUUCUCCCAGAGGCCAGGGACAUCCACAUCUGUAGUGCUUUUGAUUAGAUCUGCUUUUUGCCCAUGGCGGUUAUCCAUAAAAACACUCUUUUCCUAUAUAUAUCAUUCGAGCCUCAAUACAUGGUACAGUUGCUUCUUUCUUUCCUUUUUUUUCAACAAAGCCAAACAGGGUGGUGUUUUUCCUUAGCAAAAUCCCCCUCCUUUUUGGCUCUAUGCCUGGCUCUUCCCAAGGUGCUUGGAAAGAAAGGAAAAAACUCAGAAUCAUUUCCUUUUGUUCUUGACUGAUUCAUGGGUGGAGGGAGAAAGGAGUGGGUUUCAGCUUGAAACAUAGAAUGAUGUUCAAACAGUUUUAAAAAAUGGCCUUCAUUAAUCCUCAUUGUGUGGCACUCCCCCUUGAAUUGCAGGCUUUUUGAGUUUUUUCCUUUUUCUUGUUUAUCCAUCUUUGAAUGCCCAGCAUCUAGCACAGUUCCUGGCACAUAGUGGGUGUCUGGUGAGUGUAGAAUGUUGAGAUGCUAGGUCCCAUUGUAGGCCAUAGGGGCAAUCCCUUGUAAGCUAAGUACUUAUUAAUAUAUACAUAGAUGAAACACAACAUUUGUGACUACACUUCUCUACCACAAAAGCUUUGUUCGUGGUGUGCUGUGGCGUAAAUCAGUCUUAACUUUGCACAACCCUAAACAAGAGUUAUGUAGGAGCAGGAAAAUCAAACCUGUGCUUUCUUAAUUAUAGCAUUGGUUGGAAAGCAAUUAUUGACCUGUAACAUCUCGUUAUUUGUCUUUCUGUCUAUCCAUAUAUCCAUGUGUCUGAUGAAGUCAAGAGGUCAGAUAAGAACAGAGGCAGAAAUAUGGUCUUUCUAAUGUAACUGAUAAGAAUCUGAACUGGCGUGAAUCUCUGUGACUGGGGUCCAUUCCCAGCAGCAGAUAGAACCAAACCCCCAGCCCCAGGAGGAAGACCCUUCAGCAAGAUGGCUUUGCUAAUAUCAUUAUGUGCAAAAAGGGAUACGCUUUUACAAGUGUAUUUUACGAAGCUGAAAAUAAAAGGCAAAAAAAAAAAAAAAAAAAGGCUGGGAAAAACGAGUACUGUCUUACACGUUUCUUAAAAGGAAAAUUCAUUCUGUUCUCCCUACCAGUGCGGACUUGCUGCCUUAGAGGAAAAGCCCGUUAAAAGAACGUAUUUGUGUGUGGAACAAGGUCAUGCACUUAUUGGCUUUCUGCUGCACGGCAUCAAUAUCCCAGACAAGGAGAAUCCGUUUGCUUUCACCAUAGCCUUGUACCGCGCACAAGGGCUGCAGCAAAAUAUAUAUUCUCCAAUGCUGCCAGCACCAAAGCACAGAGGAACCCAGAGGCAGGGACUUCAAAAUGAGGGGAGAAUAGCUGAGUGUUUGUUGUAAGAAAUAAAUAUGUUACCUGGAAACAUCAUUACACUCUGAGUAGUCUGGUGUGUUGGUGUGGAGGGAUGGGGAGGGGUUGUGAUGCCCAAGUCUCUCCGAAGCUAUUUCAUAGACAGAUGACUUCCCAAAUAUUUCUCUAAUUCUCCCUUGUCUUCUGCACCACUCUCCCCAACCGCUGUAGCCUGACUAAUAUUAUUAAUCGCCUUCAUGCUGCUCUUACGACUCCUCUUACUAAUACGGUAACACUUCAUUUAUCCAGCAUCAUCAGGGAUGGGCUGUUCCACAUAACUACAUUUUCCAGCUGACUAAACUCCGCUUCUCUGAGCACCCAAAUUUAGUCUGUUUUCAUCAGUUUGAAUAGCAGUCUUUCUAAAAUGUUUUCAUCACCUGUUUUCUCGAAUAGCUUCCAUGAACAUGAUCUAAGCUUGUCCUAGUGAUUUGGGGGCAUUUUUAUGUAUACUGGUUACACUGUGCUAUAAAAUAGGGCUCCCUCUGAGGCCACCAUGCUCCCUAGGACUACUUGGCUAUGCUGGAUGCCUCUGGACUGCUGCUCAUUCUGAAUUAGUGCAAUUACUUUACUUUUCUCGACAUAGCUUCCUUAUCUGCAAAAGAGAGAUAACUGUGUCUACCUUGUUGGGCUGAUGUGAGAAUUAAGUGAAAUAAUGUAUGUGGAUCUUAGCGCGGUGCGUGGCACAUGGAAUGUGUUCAAGAAAUGUUAGCCAUUCUUACUUUAAGUGAGGAAUUACUGUAGUCAUAGCCGCCAGCACAAUACUGCAAUGAAGAUGAAAUUGGCACGGGUGCAUUGAAGACUUUGAAGACUUUUAGAAAUACUCACUCCGACACAGUUUAAUGAAGUUUACUCAUUUCCUGGUAGUGCCAUCCUGGCUGAUCAGGGUAAGGUAUAAAUCCAUGGAAGCAUGGGAGUAAGACAGCCUCUUUUCCCUCCAGAACCUUGCCUCAAACCCUUGUCCGUUGUCUUUUGUCACUUCAAGCUGAUGCUCCUCAGGAAAUCCUCCUUCCUUUAUUUGACCCGACUUGCAUUUGACCCAAUCUGCAUUAGCGUCCCCUCAGUCCCAUGCACUCAGUUUGUUCUGUGGCCAUUCCAUUUGUAAAUAGGUUGCUUUGUCAGGUGUUCUUGGAGGCGAACGUGGGCUCAGAUCUAUAGGCUUAAUCGAGUCAAGGCAUCUAAAAGCCCAUCCAGCAUCUUUCUGGACAUACUGGUCUGGGAUGCAUAUGAUGGGAAAGAAGAGGACAGUUCUGCAAAUUACCUAUAUGGGAGGGAAAGGCAGAGUCUAACACACACAAGGGGCUCCACGGCAGUGGAAGUCGAGUGGGCGCCAUGGCUCCAUGGAACCAGCCAUCUCCAUCAACGUUUGGAGACUAUCCUCGGAACGAGGUGGUUGGUGGCACGGAGGGUGAGUUGGUGGACAGGGCCUUGGCGGGGCUGCACCUCCACUGAGUAGGUACCAUGGUAGGCUGUUCUUGGGUACCACCCAUCUCUGCGCUCCUGGAGGAGAUCAUCUUGGGUGUUUCUCAGCCCUGCACUCAUCUGCCAUGUGCCUCCUUGGCCCUCGUAGAGCUGCAUCCUUUCACUUAAGGCCACUCCUAGCUCCUGAGCCAUUUCUCCGAACUGACUAUUUAGCCUGACGCACAAUUGGUGGUUAAAACGGACUCUAUCCAGAAGUGAAGCUCAGUUUCUUAACUUCCAACUAGAAGCUGCAUUUAGUCAUCCCUGGAGCCUCUUUACAUUCCAUUGGCUCUGCCAACAGCCGGGAGCAGAGGUCUGGCGUUGUUUCCAGCAUGCCCCCCUGGGCUCCUCCCACUAACUGCCCUUUCUGUGCUGAGAGAUGUCCUUGUUCUGCAGAGCAGAGGUGAUGGCACACAGCAGCCCAGUGCAUGAGUUCUCCCGCAGGAUUCCUCUUCACGUCUCUCAGGGAGGCGGCCUUCCUGGGGUCAUAUCACUCCCGCUCUGCAAUAGGAAAAUAACCGCAAGAAUAACAAUUUUAACUAACAAUAAGAAAAGGGCUUUCUUUCACAUGCUAUUUUACAUAAUAAAUGUGUUUCUGAAAAGUAUAUAAUUGCAAUGGUGUAAAUAAAAUCGUGUUUAAAGGGAGCUAGGCCAGUUGUUCAGAUGGCUGCCUACCUGGAAGUCUUGAUGCUCUUCCAAAAAAAAAACUCGCGAUAGGGAGACAUAUCCUGCAAUAGCAUGUGAGCCAGGGACAACUUUCCCAGCAGGAGGUAUGACUAUGCCGCAUAAGUACAAUAUAAAAUCAUAAGCAUAAAAUCCUCGAAAAAGAUCAGGCUGUCAAAUGUGACACGAUUGGUUCUUUCUGAGUAUUUUCUUUAAUAAUUUUUAGUACGUAGUUAUUUGCUUUGUCGUCAACUCUCCCUCAAGAGCAGGUUAUUGGUACAAGCACCCGACAUCUAAGAGAAAUAUCUGAGAGACAGAAUUAAAAUGGUUAAAAUUAUAUUGACCUGUCUAAGUGUUUUUCUAUGCAUUGGGAAUUCUGCCAUUAAUUUUUUGUUUUUUCAGUUUUAGUGGCCAAACAGUUUUGUUCAAUUUAUGGGCAGUGCUGUGUGGCACGUUGUUUUGGAAAUUUCUCACUGCCGAGAAUCUUUUUGUAGACUGAAAAUUAAUUUUGUAAUGCAAAUCAUAACCUCUGGUUUUUUCAGUUUUGUAAGUUUGAACAUGUGUUUGUGUGUGUGUGUGUGUGUGUGUGUGUGUAUGCUUCUCCCUUAAUUCAUAACAUUGGAGAGAUAGUUACUUAUAAAGUAACCCCCAACCUCUGGGUAUAGUUCAAUUUAUUAGUUACACGGUAGAAUACCAGUUGAAGAGACAUCAUAUAAUGCAGUACAGUGUGUGUCCCAAAAAGCUACUAACUACCCAGAUUAGCAACUUCUGGGGUGUUUUAUGAAAAAAGCAGAUUCUUAGAGCAUACCUCAGGACUGCUGAGUCAGAAUGUUUGGGGUAGGGCCAGAAUCUGCAUUUUAAGCAACAUUUCAUGGAAUUCGUACACGUAUCGGCCUUGGAGAACUACUGGGAUGGCGUCUGAGAGGGCAGCCUCUGAGGUCAAACUCCGCCUCUGCCACUGAUUUGGCCUGUGGCCGGUUACUCAAGCCUUGGUUUCCACUCUGUAAAAUCAAGAAUGUAGGCAUAUCUACCUCCCAGGAUUGCUGUGGGGAUGAACUGACAUCACGUAUGAAAAUCACGUACGCAGAGUGUUUGGCUCAAAACAAGGGCUUAAUAAAUGGUAGAUGUUACUUAUGGCCUAGACUAUCAUUCUUAAUGAUUUGACUAAGACAUCUUUCACUUACGCAAACAUUUUGGGGCUCACAUGUAACUUGCACUACUUAGCGCACCAUGUACACUAUAAAUAUGUAUACUGUUAGCUGCGUAUAUAGUGGUCCAGGCUACGGUAAGACGGACCUUCGAGGAACAAUUCAAUUGGGAUGUUCUGCAUUGGUCCAUAGUGGCUGAGUAGGUACAAAUGGGUUCAUGAGAAUAGGGUUCUUUUUUAAAAAUUAUUUUAUUGAGGUGAUAUUCGCUUACAACAUUGUGUAAAUUU
Non-coding RNA from Equus caballus (horse), 11564 nucleotides. NCBI's taxonomy places the organism in Eukaryota, Metazoa, Chordata, Mammalia, Perissodactyla, Equidae. The record is from RefSeq and is a predicted model, not a curated record.